Molecule: ribosomal RNA, 256 nt
Filed under: uncultured bacterium
Lineage: Bacteria
Description: partial 16S ribosomal RNA
Rfam family: Bacterial small subunit ribosomal RNA
Source: RNAcentral
UACGGAGGGUGCGAGCGUUGUCCGGAAUCAUUGGGCGUAAAGGGCGCGUAGGUGGCCCGGUCAGUCUUUGGUGAAAGCGCGGGGCUCAACCCUGCGUCGGCCAGGGAUACUGCCGCGGCUUGAGCACUGUAGAGGCAGGCGGAAUUCCGGGUGUAGCGGUGGAAUGCGUAGAGAUCCGGAAGAACACCGGUGGCGAAGGCGGCCUGCUGGGCAGUUUAGCUGACACUGAGGCGCGACAGCGUGGGGAGCAAACAGG